GAUGAAGAACGCAGCGAAAUGCGAUAAGUAAUGUGAAUUGCAGAAUUCAGUGAAUCAUCGAAUCUUUGAACGCACCUUGCACCCUUUGGUAUUCCGAAGGGUAUGCUCGUUUGAGUGUCAUUGUACUCUCACACUUCUAAUUCCUUUCGGGAUUGGGAGCGGUGGACUUGGGUGUUGCUGCUUUAGUUGUGGCUCACCUCAAAUAAGUUAGUGCAACUCUUGGUUGGACGUAGUACGGCGUGAUAAGUGUCUUCGCCGGCGCCUCUGUAAGGAGGGUGGCCGAUCGGGAGCUCUGUGCUUCAAACCGUCUUCGGACAAUCUUUGACAACUUGACCUCAAAUCGAGUAGGACUACCCGCUGAACUUAAGCAUAUCAAUAAGCGGAGGA
This 387-nucleotide unclassified non-coding RNA is filed under the name soil metagenome. Its description in RNAcentral is "partial contains 5.8S ribosomal RNA, internal transcribed spacer 2, and large subunit ribosomal RNA". The stretch from base 1 to 120 matches the Rfam family "5.8S ribosomal RNA", at positions 35 to 154 of the family's 154-position model. The record is from RNAcentral.